GGCGGGCGCGGGACGCGGCGCGCGCCGGCCCCCCCUCAGUUAUGUAACGAGCGCGGCGGCGGCGCCGGAGCGGCCUGGCCUGGCGUGUCCUCUCCUCUCCUGUUCUGCCCUGCUCUGUCCGGAGCCGUCCGGCCCGGAGACCACUCUGAGGAGCCGGAGAGCCGGCAGAGUUCCCUCAGAGCAAGGGUCAUGCAGUGCCCGUGCUGCCACCUCCCGACCCCCCGGGCCUCAGCCUCGGCACGGCGGCCCAUGCAGGUCUCUUCCUUCGGUUCCUGCCGAACUCUCCUUAUGUGGUUCAGCACCUGAAGACCCAGCGCGGGGCACAGACAAUCAAUGACCUAGCGUUCGUUUGCUGCAGUUUCUGAAAAAUGUUUUCACCAAGCUAAUUCCAUACGAGGAUGGCUAGGGGACGUGCAGUGGUGCUUUCUCCCGGAGGGACCUCGGGGCAGAGGCACAUCUGAUUUUAGGAAGCCUGGACAGGCCAGUCCUUCCAUGCUGCCCAGAUGGGGGUUGCAGCGGUUUACUUCUUGUCAAGCUCCCUGCCUGUGUGAUAAUCACUGUUUCCUUCCGUGCCAUCACCCUUUCUUUCAGGACACCAAAGUAACACUGAUGCUUUCAUUAGGUGUCAUCGAUAACAAAAAAGUAGGUGUUAAAACAGAAUUGUUUUUUUCCCUGCAAGGUCCCUUCAAGGACCUCUGAAUAUGAGGGAACAAAGAGCCGUGUCCUCAUUUUUAAAAGCAAAACAAUAAAUAUGUUGAAGUGCAUGUCACAGUGAUCGUAACUGUAAUAGACACUGCCUACAGCGUUAUAAUUUUACAACCCAUGGCCUUAACCACCAGUAGCCACAAAAAAGCAAAUGCCGUAGGUUUGUUUGGCAGAGGGAAGCUCAGAAGUAAAUGUUUCCUUUCUAGACUGUUAUUGUGAAGCUUGCUAAUGUUAACAUUUAUAUAAGACAAGCAACACGAGAUGAUGAUUUGGCAGCAAAAUGGACAGCAAAGAAAUGUAAAACAAAUAAAUCCAGCAUGCAGGCUCUGUGAAUGGAGAAUGAGACAGAGAAAUAAAGGAAGUGUAAAGGAUAUCUUCAAGAAAUACCAGAUUCUCAAACCAAACCGUGACCUAUUUAGAAAGUACAGAAGGUUCUGACCUGAAAAAUGUUGUUUCUGUAUGUUUCAAUACUCUGGUUUUCCGCACCUCAGUAUUUCAGCAACUCAAAAUGGGUCCAUAGACACAUCAGUCUUCUAAAAAUCUGAUAUAAAAAUUUUUAGGGGCAAGAAACAUCAGUAAGGCAACAACAGCGAUUUCAGAGUUUCAGGAAAUAAUGCACACCAAGAGGCUUUUUUCAUUAAAAAUACUGUUUCCAUUUAUUAAUCUGAUUCAAAGACCCACGUAGGAAGUUGCUUUCUAAUGGUAGGGCCUGCAAACUCUUGCAGAAUCAGCUACAGAUAAGGUAACAGCAACCAAGAGAACUGUUCCAGUUAUAGUAACAACUAUUCUGUGUUUGUGCAACAAAGUGUUGGUAUAUGUAACCGCUCUGGAGUCUGAGAAGGGACAAUUUCUUGCUCCUUAGUUGGGUGUUUCUUACAUGGUCACGGGGUCAGUCUUAUCUGGAAGCUGCAGUUACCAGCUGGAGUGAUGUCUUUAUCCGAAUUGGCUGUAAAAACGCACUCCUGUUGUGUAUCAGGAAGUGUCUGCAAACGACAAACCUGCUGAACACCUUGGUCUGGGCACUGUUUGCUUCAGCAUCCUCAGAGGAAGUCGCCGAGACUUAAAAGGUUUCUGCUGAAAACGUGACACGAUAGCUGGAGCCUCGGCCCUUCUGUGAGCAACGCUGAAAUGAUGUAACACAGCAUGCCUGGCUUGAAUCUCUGGAGGAGGCAGGAAAGUGCUGUGCGCUUCAUGGCAACACAGACUUAAGAUGUAGUUUGAAUAAGAGGCUACUGUGCUCUUCCUCCAGGGGUUAAUCUUGUACUGAAGCAUUGGCUCUCCUGCGCUGAGCUCCCCAAUCAUUCAUUCAAAAGGGAGGUAUUUGCACAAACAUCAAGACUGGGGGAAUUACCUAGGAAAUCCUCCUCCUUUUAACCGUGCCCACAUAGUCCUCUGGCAAGGAAAAGCUGGUUUCUGCAUUUCACCCAGCUGCUGGCAACAUCUCUUCCUCCUUCAGUUCUAAAAGCUGCUUGAAGUAUUAACAGCUGAACCUGGAUGAGUGGCAGCCAGCCCAGCUCAUGACGGAGGGGGAGACGUCACCACACAGAGCACGCACAGAUGGAGUUACACAAUCUCUGUGGUGUUGAAAGCAGCGCUGGAAACUUGUCAGGAGCCCAAAGGCCAGAGCUAAUUUGUAUUUCCUAUUGCACAGCAUGAUUUUAAUCAGAGCGAAAAGCGCCCAGUUGUGUUUUAUGUACCGAGUGUUAUAAGCAGAGACAAGUUAACAGAGCAACUAGGGGCAGGACAUGUAUGAGGACAGCGUAGAGUAACAUUAGAUGGGGAAUAUACCUAAUUUAUCAGCAUUUCCUUUAUUCUUCAGGAUGGCCAUGGACUAUGAAGCAAGAGAAUAAGAGGCAACUUCCGUCAAAAUUCUAUGAUUGACCAAUUCUCUUUACAAGAAGAAAAAAAAAAAAAGGUAAAAAAGACACCUGCAAAAACCUUAAAGACAAGCAUUUUUCUGAAAGUUCUAGAUGUGUCACCAAGUAAAAUAUGGUAUUCAGUAAAAUACGGUAUUGCAGCCAGUAUUUGACAGCAGUCAAGUCUAGGUGAUCUUUAACAGAAGCUGCUCUGGAUUUAGCUUCAGAUAAGUGUGUGCAAGUUCCUUGUAAGAAUUAAAUUUCUGCCUCAUGGAGAGCAGACAGCACAAAGGACUGGCACAGCCCCCAAGCACCACUAUUCCCAGAACAGGCUCACCUCCAGUACCUCCUUUCCCUGCUGUGGUGGCUGGAGAGCAGGAGUCGGGAGCCAUUUGGUCACCUUACCCCAGCUGGGCUUACAGCCAUGCUCCCUCCCCAGCACACAGCAUCGGGAUGCACCUUUGUGUGCCAGAGAGGGAAUGGGGCACCAGGUUAAUAGGACAGUAAAUACACCUUGACGUUUCUUGAUUGGUUUGCUUUGUACUCCCAAUAGAUUUACUGGAAACUCAGAGGUGGGGUUUGCUGCUCAGGGAGUGCUAUCAUUGGAGAAAAUCCUUCAUUUCAGCCUUCUUCUCUUUACCCACUGGGAAUAAAUGCUCCUUUCUACCUCAGUUCAGCUUUAUUCCUUGACAGCUGAGAAAAAGAAAGAAGGCAGGGGGAAGAAAUCAGACCUUGGACCUUUAUUUUGCUCUGGAGAACCAAUGUCUAGUUCAGAGUGGGAUAAACUGCAUAUCAGGGAUAUAAAAGGAAACCUGUCAGACAAGCUUAUCUGUAGCUUCCUAUAUUCAGUCCGAUAAACUGUAUUCCCAGAGCAUUUACCCCAUCAGCCAGGGCCUUUCUAUUGUAGCCCCUGAAAUCAGCACCCUCUCUGCUCUCAUUCUUCCUCCACAUGUUCCUUUACCCCCCUCCCCCAUACACAUUUGUCCCCCUAACUCAGACAGCUCCCCAAGGAGCUCAGGCACCACCUAUGUUCAGGGAUGGGGAAAAGAGAAGAGCGAGUCAGCUGAAUGUGCAAACAAUCCUAUUUGCACCCCAUCAUGUACAAUUCAGAUCUUUGUCAGCAAGAUGGAGUGCACUUUGUCCAGUUUGUUUUCUUCUCGGAUUAUCAUCCACGCCCUUCCCAUAUGAACAUUACCAAAUACUGUACCUGAAUCAGCCUUUUCAAGACAGGCUGACUGCUGCCUGGUUUAUACCUGUCCACCAGCUGCCUGUUUGCUUUGUUUAAAAAUUAUAGCCAACCAUAAAAUGUAAUGUGACAUCUACAGCAGCCAUGAAAAAAUAAUAAUAAUAAUAAUAAUAAUUUAAAAAAGCCACCAAAAGCAUUUUCCUGGUGUCACUAAGGCACUGGAUGGAAGUGGUUUUAGUUGCACAAGCCCUCUUUGGACGUAGCCUUGCCUGGACACAGCCCACCUUGCACUCCGGGGUGUUGGGAGAGCUGCCUGCUGCCCACCUGCCUUACCCCCAGCUCAGCUCCGCCUCGCAGGGACACGCGGGGGAUGCGGGUACCAGACAGUCCCACCGCGCACCGGCCUGGACAGACGGACAGCCCGGCGGCAGGGAAGGACGGCGGGGCAAAGGUGCGAAGAGCUUUUUGGCGCUGUGGCAGCAGCCGGAGCAGCACCGGCAGGGCCCCAGGCCCGACAGACAAUAGCUGUCUCCCUGCUCUCUCUCCCUGCCGGCAGCAUCCGACGGAGGAGCCUCAUGAAUCAAGUCGAACAUCCAGCGACAGGCUGCAGAAAUCCAUUAAUAUGCGGCCGCCGCCGCACGCCGCCAGCCCCCUGCCUGGCGCGGCGCUCACCUGCCUGUCUCACCCCUGGCAGGCAGCGAGGGAACAAAGGAGCGGCGCAGGGCGGCCGCAGCGCCUGCCCCCGCCGCCGAGGGAGGCAGCGGCUGCACACAAAGCCCGCUCGCCUGCCGCCAUGGGCGUGAGGAAUGCUCCCGCUCGCCCUAUUGUCUGGGCUCCUUUGUGCUCCUCCAGACCCCGGUCCCCAACCGCACAGGCAGGAAUAGUGGGAGCGGGACAGACACGGCUUUGUUGAAGGGAGCCCUCGAACGCGGAAAGCUUCCUGCCCUGGCCCUGCCGUACGUGCCCGUCUGGCACGCUGCUCCUGCCCCAGAGGACAGGUAGGGAGCAGGGGGUGCAGAGCAGAGCGGACAGAUGGACAGGUCACUGGUGAUUCUCCACGCACACGGGGCACUCGGCGGCCCCUUCUUGAGCACCUUUUUCUCCCUGCAGAGACUGACCCUGUGGUGCCCCUGGGAGAUGGGGAAUGGUCACCGGGUCCUGCAGAAGGGAGUGUGAGGGCUGCCCUAACCCCCUGUCACUGGUGGGGGCUGGUGCCGCUGGCUAGAGGGAACAAUGAGGGAGCAGAUCUGGGAGGACGGACCACUCUUGACACCACCUGUAUCCCUCCCAGCCUCAGGAGCAACACAGACACCUCUGUCAAACCUCCAAUGCUUUGUCAAGCAGUAGCUGUGGCACCCCCUGUGCGAGCCACGUCUGUGGCUGCAGCAUUGCGACCCCCCAAGUCCUACAGGGCUGGUGGCAGGAUCCAGAUUGCCUCUACCCUCUGUCUCAGGGCAGAGCUGUAAUUGCCAAGCGCUCCCGAGGGGUCAGUCCCCAGCUGCAGCACUGGUAGCUCUCCUCCCACUGCCACUGCACACCGGGAUUGGAAUGGCCAGGACAGAGAGGAGGGGAAAGCCAGGUCUCUCCAGUGCAGGGAGCAGGAUGUCCCAGUGGUGCCCAUGCCACUGCCCAAAGGAUGAAGCUCUCCCUGGUCCCUUGGCAGCUGUAGCACGUGGAGCAGCUCCAGCGAGAGAGCCCCAUACAGGUAUGGCUCACCUGGACUCAGCACUCCAGCUUGUGCAGUCCCUGCCCCGAGCACCCUCAGCUGUCUCGCUCCUCUCCACUGACACUGCUCACACAACCAAUCUCAGCCAUGCACAGAAAUACUUGCAAUGGUCCAGGUGUCAUUUGAACAAUAUGGCCAAUGGAACAUAAGCAAAGAAAGAGAGAAAAGGUCCAAACCUGAGGGAAAAGCUUGUUCCUGAAGGACGUGGCCUAGGGCUGCAAAGGAGACCCAGCACGCUCCUGCUCCGCUGUUGGGGCAACAGUGCCGAGAGCUCUGGCACAGAGAACAACAGGGUCCAGGAGCAAGAACCAAGGCACUGUAGGGGUGCUGCUGGUGGAGCCUGAGGGUGUCCACAAGGGACAGGGAUGGUGAGGAGGCAACAUACAACUAAAAAGCCCAUUUCUCAGUCUUGUUUCUGGGAAAACAGUUUCUGACAUUUUCUGGUUCUAAGGAUUGCCAUUAAAGAAGAAGGCUCUACCCAAAGUGCAAUUUCUCAUCUUAUUUGAUGAGAAAAUUUACAAUAUUUUAAAUAAAUUCUAAAUAAAUUCUUGGAAAAAAUUUCUAUGGACACCAACAGGGAGGUCUCCAGACAACCUUCAUUCAGGAAUACAUUUUUCCUAAAGAAAACUCUAAAAUUCCUACUUUAAAAAAAAAAAGGUAGAAACCUUGAAUCUAAACAGCAUCACUUCCUUCCUUGAGUUUUCCUGCUUCACAGUGAAGUCUCAGCAGAUCUUGUAAAGUAUAUUUGUGCUUUAUAAGCAGGAGUCAUACUGGGUUUGAUGGACAAGAGAUCUUCAGCAACAUCUAAGUUGCAGAAGCAAGACAGUCAUUCCCAAAACCACCAAAUCAGAGAAGACUGUGAGAGCAGAUAAAGCAAAAAGCCAGAUAGAGGCAAAAGGCCUUCAUCUUCAAAAAGUCAGAGAAAAUGGAAAGACUGCGGGAAAGGGGAAAUACCUGAGAAGGAAAGGGGAAGUACCUGCUGGGCAGCAGGUUGGUGGUAGAGCUCCUGGCCUCUGUCCAUGCCUCCUCUAUGACCCCUUGACACAGCAAGGGACACAGCAGCUCUCUUCUCCCAAGCCAGCACCAAGCUGGUGUUCCUGCAGAGUGGCAUUUCAGCAGUUGGAGGACUGGCUGCAUCAGCCCAGAGCUGAACUAAUACAAGAGCCAUUUUGAAAUCCAAGCUUGGAGGGGCUGCCUGAGUUAAUGAAACUGGUGGCAUUGGGACGAAAUGCCUCUUACUGAAAAGCAGAGAACUUCCCCCAGGCUGCCUUUGGCUCCUGCAAAGCAUUCAGGUCAGUUUGUAACUUAUUAAUAUCAACACUCACAGGCUCAAAGUUCAGCACGUGUUUAGUUGUUCUUCUGGAGCAGCAGACUUGAAAAGCAUAUUGCGCAGGUUUCCUAGGAAUAUAAGAGACGUGCAGAGAAAGCAUCCACUGCCCAUCUGCUCAGGAGACAGCCACUGCACCUCUUUGGGUCAUGAGACAUGCUUCCUUCACCACCUCGUGACUGAGAAGCUACCUCUGCUCAGCUACUGCAUCCCUCUCCAUCAAGGUCCUUCCUCCUCUUGUGACAAAACAGUUUUGCACUCAAGUGGUGCUCAAAAGGGUCCCCAGGUUUAGGAGGAAAUGCUCAGUUAAGAAGGAGGAUUACACUGCACAUUUUAAGUGUCUUUCCUGCAGCUGGAAUUGUACCUUAAUGUAAUUAAACCUCCAGUGCUCCAACUGAAAGUGCUCAAUACAUGAUGUCACUUGAAAAAUGAAUCACUUUGCCACUGGACAAGUAGAGAUGGGUAGUGGAGUCAGUGUGGCAUCACACAGUCAGAUGAGAGCAACAGGGCUGUAUCUUCCAGCACUGGGACUUGUGUGCAGGGGGACUGCUGCUCUUGUAAGGCCAUUAAGCCCACACAGGCCAGCUCACCUCCAAAAAAUGCAGAGUUCCCAGGGCUGGUCUUCUAUCUGCUGCUCCUGACAGGCCUUUCCUUUGGAGGGAAAAGUGACCCUGGCAGAUGUGGAGCAUGGUCACCCCACUGGAUGUAGUGAGGGUAAACACACAGAGGACCUGCAAGAAGGACACAAUGGAAAGCAAGGUGGAAGCUCAUUGCUGAUCAAACCUGGGAGAGAAGUGCUGAUGGAUGCAGCUGACUGCAGUCUUUCAAAGGUAUCACUGGGCAGGAUGGCACCAGAAACAAAAUCAAAUUAAGAGUUUCUGAGCAGGUGGCAUGCUUUGAAUCCUGUCUGGCCUGGGAUUGCCACCCUGGCAUACAUCUGUUGCAGUGAUCAAGUUACCCAGUGAGAAGAGGCUACACAGCAAUUAUAAGUCCCUCCCCGCCAGAAGAGCAACCAAAGGUCCUCUGCUACCCUCAGCUUCCCUGCAGACUCACAAGUAAAAGAGCCAAACAGGUUUCCUUUGCUGUGCAGCUACUGCCCAAACCAGUGUGGGUAACAGCAUGGACCUUGAUUGUCAACAGACAAGGCUACACAGAAUUUCAGGACGAUGCACAGAAGCAAAUACAAUUGGAGAAAGGAAUGAAGUUCCACUUCUGCAGCCACUUACCAGAAGAAAUGAUGCAUUUUGGCCAUCAGGAUCAUCUGUUUUCCCUGCAAAGAUAUAUUAACAAGGUCCUUGCUUCUCAGUGACUAAGGAGGAGGGAAGAGAAACCUUGACCACAAAGAGGAACUCAGUCUCUGGGAAACAUGCAAAGAGGAUGCUGUUAAAUAUUUCAGGAAACACUAGGGGGAAGAUGGGGGCAGCCAGAAGUUUUGGAAGUUUUGAUUUCCCCAAGAAAAUAAACUCCCUAUUCUAGCUAGAGGAGAAAUGGCUUGUGAGCCCUCUCUCCUGGAAUUUUACUUGUGGUACUCAAUAUUUUAAAGGGCUGCAGAGGAGGGAACACUCUUGACUGGAUUAAUUUACAAGGUAAAAGUGACUCUUUUUUUCCCCAGGGAGAGUUAAACUAGACUCAUGCCUUUGAUGAAGAGUGUUUGAAACCCUCCUGCUUGCACGAGGAGCACAGGAGCUCCUGCCACUGGAACACAGGCAUUGCUUAGCCCAGGACCACCCCAGAACUGCCUGAGUGCCAUCUUUGUGGGGGAAGUUAAAUACUUCAGAUUCCCUUUUCAACCAGGCUACUUAUGCUUUGGAUCUGUUUUUGUUAAAGCCUUCUUAUUUUAAUUAAGAAAGUACUUGUUGAAAAGCA
Molecule: long non-coding RNA, 8666 nt
Organism: Parus major (Great Tit)
Lineage: Eukaryota; Metazoa; Chordata; Aves; Passeriformes; Paridae
Exons: 3
Source: RefSeq, a predicted model, not a curated record